CGCUAGAGCAUCUGUGGAUUCGUGAUUGCAGCCAAUUGAUACACCUGUGGCGGGGUUCAACUAAUUUAGACAAACUUUCUAGCUUGAAAUCUUUACGGAUCGAAGGGUGUAAGAAGCUAGUGUCGUUGGUAGGAGGAGUGGAAGGGAAUUUGCCUUGCAAUCUUGAAAUUUUGGAGAUAUACGGCUGCGAUGGAUUAGAGAUUCUGCCAAAUGGGUUGCAAACCCUCACAUCUCUUAGAGAGCUGAAUAUUCAACGGUGCCGAAACCUUGUGUCCUUCCCAUCUGCAGGUUUACCUUGUAGUCUUAAAAGUCUCCAAAUCCACUAUUGUGAUUCUCUGGAGUCCUUGCCUAAGGGCAUUGUGCAUGAUAGUAACGCCAGGAAUGAGAUGUCUCAUCUUGAGGUUGUGGGUGUCAAUAGCUGUCCAUCUCUUACAUCGGUUCUAGUUGGUGAAUUUCCCUAUUCAAUUAAAAAAAUUGCAAUUUGCUUUUGGACGACACAGCUAUUGGAGUCGUUUCAUAAUAUAAUAGGUUUUCGCAUCUCACCACAUUAAUAAUAUAUGGGUCUGAGUUGGAGUCUUUCCCAGAAAGUGGAUUGGCCAUCCCCAACCUUAGCCUUUUAAUCAUAGAACACUGUGAAAAUUUGAGGUUGCUUCCCAAUCAAAUCCAAAAUCUCACAUCUCUUCACAAUUUAGAGAUACGUAAUUGUGCAGGUUUGCUGUCCUUUGCAGAUGAGGGUUUACCCCCAAACCUUACUUCUUUAUUCAUAUUGUCGUGUGAGAAUUGGAGAUCUCUUCCCAAUCAAAUGCAAAAUCUUACAUCUCUUCAACGUUUGCAAAUAUUUAACUGUGGAGGUCUGGUGUCCUUUCCAGAUGGCGGUUUACCUCCAAAACUAGGUCUUCUUAGAAUUUCGUAUUGCAAGAAUCUGAAACAGCCAAUCUCAGAGUGGAGACUCAAAACACUCGCCUCUCUCACCUAUCUCAGAAUCGAAGGGCCAUGUCCAAGUACAGAUAAGGAGGAUUCCUUCCCAGAUGAGAAGGGCCUACUGCUUCCCUCUUCCCUAACCUCUCUUAAGAUCGAAGAUUUUAAAAAUCUGAAAUCAAUAUCCAGGGGCAUUCACCAUCUCACCUCUCUUGGUGAUUUAAGAAUUGGAGAUUGCCCUAAACUCCAGUCCUUUCCCAAGGAGGGCCUUCCGACCACACUUGAAUGGUUGAAUAUCUUCGAGUGUCCCCUCCUGGAAAGACGAUGCAGAAAAGAGAAAGAAGACUAUUGGCGCUUUAUUGCCAAUAUCCCCUACCAUUCUAUAAUAUGAGGUCUGCAAAAAGCGGGACUGCUUAGGCCAGAACUCGAGAUUGUCAUAAUCGUCUCAAAUCCAAUCCCUGGCGGCAAGGAUAAAACUUUCAUGGAUUGUUUUCGAUGUUUUUGGUUUCUACAAUCUACAACUGUAAUUUUAUAAAGACUGCUAUUAGUUAAGCUUGCAAAGUUUGGAUCUUUUUAAGUCUCCAAAUUUAAUUUUCAAAAAAAAAAAAAGACCACAAUCCUGUUUCUGCUACAUAUGACUACAAUGAGCAGUUGUUACCAAUUUAUCAGAGAAGAAUUCUGUUUCCUAUGUUGAAAUACUUAUAUGAGCAUAUUUGUUUACUUAUUGACAAAGAUUUAACGCUCUGGAAAGU
Non-coding RNA from Jatropha curcas, 1670 nucleotides. The record is from RefSeq and is a predicted model, not a curated record. Lineage: Eukaryota; Viridiplantae; Streptophyta; Magnoliopsida; Malpighiales; Euphorbiaceae.